Nylanderia fulva is the source of this 402-nucleotide long non-coding RNA. RefSeq lists it as uncharacterized. The record is from RefSeq and is a predicted model, not a curated record. NCBI's taxonomy places the organism in Eukaryota, Metazoa, Arthropoda, Insecta, Hymenoptera, Formicidae.
GCGAAUGCGAACUUUGGCUGUGUUCCGAUAUUCACAGCCAAAGUCUGGUUGUAGUGUGGUGAACGCAUGUGUCUCAUAUCUAAAACGACUUCAGCCUACAUAAUUGUCCUACAUAAUUGUAAUAGGAUAUUUAUUAAAAGUGAAAGAGAAUAGAAGAAAAAAGGUAAUCGAGGAUUAGGUAUAGUGAAAAUGAAUCAAUCGCACAGAAAACGAAAGAAGCUUCAUCUGGAUCCGACGUACGACAGAAGAUUGUUAUCAAUAUCAACUCGUCGUAAAUGGAAUAAAAUACUUAACACAGUUUUACCAAGGAUACUACUUAAUGCAAACAAAGAAGGUCAUAUGAAUGAUUAUGCUGAAAAUGAACCUGAGAAUGUGCAACCAGAAGACGAAGAUAGCUGCAAC